This 321-nucleotide ribosomal RNA is filed under the name Triticum aestivum (bread wheat). RNAcentral describes it as "partial small subunit ribosomal RNA". The record is from RNAcentral. Lineage: Eukaryota; Viridiplantae; Streptophyta; Magnoliopsida; Poales; Poaceae.
AUGGUGUGGUUGCGCCAACUCCUAAGUGAGCUUCAUCGUCCUCUUCAUCAGGCCACUAUUGUGUAUUGUGACAACAUCUCUGCCGUCUACAUGUCCUGCAACCCCGUUCAGCAUCGACGAACCAAGCACAUCAAGAUCAACAUACACUUCGUUCAUGAGAAGGUGGCUUUGGGCGACGUUCGAGUUCUUCACGUCCCUACAAGUGCCCAGUUUGCUGACAUCUUCACCAAAGGCCUGCCGGCGACGCCAUUCUUCGAUAUUCGUGCCAGUCUCAACGUCGUCGAGCCCGCCGCUGACACUGCGGGGGGUGUUAGUCAGUAG